This is a non-coding RNA of Leptonychotes weddellii (Weddell seal), 7253 nucleotides long. The record is from RefSeq and is a predicted model, not a curated record. Lineage: Eukaryota; Metazoa; Chordata; Mammalia; Carnivora; Phocidae.
AGACUAAAUUGAAUAUUCAUACAGAUCAUGCAUAAUCUAGGGUCUACUUAGGUUGUUGGUAUGAAUUUCACCCCCAAGAUUAGAGUAGGUAAGAAAUGUCACUGUUACGUACAUCAGUUUAUUUUCUUGAAUUUAAAUUAAGUCCGCCUCUAAACUCUAAGCUCACUGUGUUGGAUAGAAAUACCAGACAUUGCUAGGAUUCCAGAACCCCCUUCUCACAUCUCCUCCCUCCCAUCCCCACCCUCAAAGAGAGGUCCUGUGAGGUCCAGUAGGGUAGACAGGCUGCCCAUUCUCCAUCUUUAGCGGGCACUGGUCACGCUGCUGUGAUCCUUGCCCAUGCUUACAGGGUCUCAGCGAGGCAGGCACUCCAGAGUUCCUGAGGCUGCCUUGGGUACAGGCAUGCCUGCCUGAGCGCCUUGGCCUCAUAAGCAGCCCAUUCCCUUGACAGCCUGUGCCUGUGGGGUGGUUGUGGAAGAACAGGCCAUGUGUCCCAACUACUCAUGACCCUGCAGACUCCCCUCCUCUGUACCUUGAGGAAUUUUUCUCCCUGUUCUCCCUCACCAUUUGUGCUUACUUCCUAUUCUCAAAAACACACCUUUCUUCUCUCCUCCUAGUAUAUUGCCCUCAGUGUGGGCUUGUGAUUUAAAACCAUCUAAAAAUAUAUGUGCUUUAAGCAACUUCAGCUUUGGCUUGUAUUGCAACUUACCAGAUAGAAAGCAACAGAAGGCCAGGAGAUUUUCUUUGGGGGGCGGGGAGUGAGAGGGGAGGUGCAGGGGGCUGAAAACAGAAAAAAAAUUCCCAGCUUGUCACUUUUACUAUAAUUAAUGAAAUUAAUGCAGAUGGUUUACUUGAAACUCAGCAUAGUGAUUAUAAAUCAGGCUUGGGAGUUUAAAUCCAGCUCCACCACAAGUUAUAAUCUCUCUCCAUACCUUGUUUUUUUUCAUCUAUAAAUGGGGAUACUAAUGGUAAUUAUUUCAUAAGGUUGGGUUUAAAUGAGUUUUAAACAAUUUCAUAUAACGUUCUCUUAAAGCACUUUCAUAGGCAGGUCUAAGAGUUUAGAAUAAAGCCUGGAAUGUAAUAAGCACUAGGUUUUAUUUGUUAUUUCUUGAAUUCACUAAGCAAUCGAAUAGAAUUCAAAACAUAGAAACAAAUAAACUGUAUGAAGCUGUUGCUGUUUUGGAUAUCAAUUUUGAGAGUAAUUCAAUUGAUUGUGAAUUUUGAGCCCUAAGUGACACAAGUUUAGUCCUAAAUGAUACAAAUUUUAGAAAACCCUAAAUCAGCUUUAUACUUGUAGCCAUACAUAGGCUUGAAUUACCACAUCCAAAUUCGAACCUCUCCGUUAAAAUCCUUUUUCUCUCUUCUACUUCUUUCCCUUCUCCUUGAAGUAUUCUUAACUGUGCAUGUAUCGCAUUUGUGAAUUACCUUCCUACUUGUUUUCCCUGCAUCUUCAAACAGUAAUGCAUUCCUCAAAAACACAUCAUUCUGCUGUGCAAAUAUCUUCAUAGGGGAAAUUUGAAAUUGACAAAUACAUUCACUUAAAAUUUGCCUUGUGUUGAAAAUUAAAGAAAAAAAUUUCAAUUGGCUAUUUGUGCAUCGUUAUUAGUAAAUCAACCCAAUUUGAUGUAAAGAUGGAUAUUAUGGUCAUUUCAAAGUGAUUUUUGGUUUUGGUAAGUGGGUCCUACAGCAUUAUGUCUUCAUUUUUGUGAGUUAUUGCACCUGGCUAGUAUUUUCAUUGCUGCCUUAUGUUUAUUUGCUGCAAUUCCCUCUCAAAACUGUGUGCACUGGUUAUAAUGGUAAUGAGGAAGAUAACUCAAACUAAAAUUCAAAUCAUAGAAGCUUUAGACAGAUAGGAGAGUUAACUCAUUUUCAGCAUGUGCAGGCUAAAUUACGCAUGGGAUGAAAUAGAAUAGGCAAAUUGCAGCAUAAUAAUACACAGUAAGUUUAAAACAUAUAACCUGUACAGUAUUUAAACUGGCUUUAAUAUUCCUUGAAUACCACAUUAUGGUUUUUCAUACAUCCUCUCAUUCCUCUCUUUCCCAGUCCUCGUGCCCCACCUUGAGAGGAUAAUGAUUUCACAGGAUCUAGACUCAGGAUUAAAUUUCGCUUGCUCUACUGUCUCCAGUUAACGUCUUUGUUAUUACUGGUCUGUUUUUGUUGUUGUCUUUCACAAGUCUUUGACUCGGUAGCAGUAGCAAAUGAUGGAGAUCUUCAAGUUUCUCAAAAAAAAAAAAAAAAAAUGCCUUUCAGGGUAAUAUCACUCCACCUGAGAGGAUGCCUCCCUCGCUCCUUGGCCGAGCUGAAUCACUGAUCAUUGUGCCCACGGUCUAAUUGUGAUAACAGACUAAUUGCAGCUGUUACGGGGAUGCCAGCUCAGUAAUCUGUGUUUCUCAAUGGCAGCUUUGUUUUGUAGGGCCAUCUCUGACAAGACUCAAUUGGCAGAUAUUUUUCUAACAAAUGUUCAUCCCAGAUGCUGCUAGUGUUUAAAUAGGAUGUGCCAAGAUUUAGAUAGAAAUAUAAAAUCAUUUGAUAUUUUAAAACCUAGAAAUCUAAAAUAAUCUCAGAGAAAGAACAGUAGUUCUUUAUGUGGGGAAGUGCCCGGUGCUUGGUAAAAAAAAAAAAAAAAAAAUUUUGUACUGUUUAUAUGUAAAAAGAGAACAGGGCCUAUAUUUAUAAUACUUUAACACCAUGGUUGGAACAAUGGAAGCAUCACUGUUAAGCCCCCAUAUGCGAUGCAGAUAUCUUCAUUAUCUCCCAUUCAGGGUUUUCACUGAAGUCUAAUCAACGAUUUUUUGUAUGUGCAAUUUUCUAGAACGUUUGCUGUUCUAGGAAGUCCUGAAGGUCUAACCCAGCAGUGAAAACCAGCCUGUUUCCCCAGAUACCUAUUAAGCAAACCACUUUGAGACUUAUAAGUUAGAUCCCCUCUAAAGGUUUUUUCUACAUUUAAAUUCCAAACAAAGGCAAUGCAGAAGUUUCACUUUCUCUUUAUGCAUAAUUUAUUGCUUGGUAUCCCUCCAAAUAAAAUCCCUGUGCGGAUGGAUGAUCGCCACCCCUUCCAUGUCUGUGUGGUUGCUGCUAGAGUGAGCAGGGAAAUAAAACCAAGGGAAUGAAAAUGGAUAUUUUGGUUUUAUUACAUCGUUAAGCCAGUUUUGUGCAUUGGAUUAUCUAGCAUGUUAGUAAUAAAUGGUUUCUCUAAUUAUUUAACAUGUGCGCAAUAUAAAGAAAAUGUGUAAUACAGUCAUAUGUUGAAGUCAGGAAUAGCAAAGCCGCCAGAUGGCUAGUAACCAGAUUAAAACAAAACAAAUCACAAUACGAUUUUUAAAAAAAUGAAGCAAGUCCGAACUUUUCCCAAAAUACUUUUAUUUUUAGGCAGCGAUUAGAAACAAAGUGUACCAGCACACAGUUAAACUGGCUUUUAUUCUUCACCUGAGACUAGUUCUAAUUGAUCACUGUGCUAUUGUAUGAUUUGAUUGUGCUGACAGUUACAUGCCACUGUUCCCAUAAUAACAAUUUUUCUUCUUUGUUCAAAUGAAUUUCCUAAUGACACGUGUGAUGGGAUGUUUUAAUUCUUUUCCCUUUUCAAAUCCACCUUCCUGUUGCAAUGCAUGAUGGGCAGGCUCAAUAUUGUGCAUGACACCCGCUACAAGUGUUGUUCCCAUGGUGCACGGUGCUACGCCAGCCACUGUGUCCGCAGCAACAACAUCUGCCACAAGUGUUCCCUUCGCUGCAACAGCCACAGCCAACCAGAUACCCAUAAUAUCUGCCGAACAUCUGACUAGCCACAAGUAUGUAACCCAGAUGUAGAAUUUUCAUCACUAAACAAUCAUACUAAAGAGGAAAGGACAGUGUGCUUGGUUAGAGUAAAGGACGAGGUCAUUAGCCAUAUUGUAUAUACCGUCAAGCAACACACACAAAAACCCCUCAGCCACAAGACAUCCACAUAUUGCAUGUUAACCAGAAGAAAAGACACCAUGGAAAUCCACUGCACACUGUUGCCUAUACACUUUGUACAUUUAAUUGAUAUUUGUGCUGAGGUGAUAUUCCUGUCUAAAAGAACAACAUCGUCUUUCUUUUCUAGCACAGAGUUAUGCAUUAAAAUAUGCAUACCUAAUUAGUUUCCUAUAUAUUCAUGCCAUCUUGAAAAGACAGACUGUGGUGUAACCAUGAUUCUAUUAUGUAUUGGUACGUCUGUAGACCAAGAUAUAAUUUUUUAAAAAUAAGUUUAUUUCUUUCAAGGUUUACAAAUAACAAAGGUGCACCUUGUAUUUAAAAUUGCCAUUAUAGAUGAGAGCGUGCAUGCACAGUCAUUUUUGUUUGAGAGUAAUAUUUUUAAUGUAAUAGAUUUUAAGAUGCGGUGAGGGAGGGAUCUGACAGAGAUGAAUGUGCCAAGCAAAACCACAACUGUGUAUCUUUUAAAGCACAUCAUGGCUUUAAGUACCAUGUUGUUAAGGAUUCUCAUGAAGUGCCAUAGACUGUAUAUCAAAUUAGAGUAUUAUUUCUUCAGUGUUAUUGUUUUCAGAGCCACAUUUUGUUGCUUAUCUGCUAGUACUAAUCAGUCAAAGGGCACCAUUCUUUUUUUCUUCUUUUCUUUUUUUUUUUUGAAACCAAAGCUGUCUCAGAAAUGGCCAAUUUAACUCUACAGUAACAAUAGACAGCACAACACAAACUCUCUCAAUACAGAUAAACUCACACAUACUGGAGAUAUAUAUAAUAGAUAUAUAUAUAUAAAAUUAUUUUAAUGCAUUGUAGUGUAAUAUUUCUGCAUACUAUACUGUAUAACAUGUUAUUCAAAAGGGAUAUGCCAUUUCUGAGACACGAUAACAAAAAAAAAAUGUUUGAGGAAAUUAUUUUGCUUCUAUUUAUAGCUCUGUCAAAAGUCAAAAGACUAUAAAUGCUUUGCAAAAAUGGUUUCACAUUUGCUUAAACGCUUCAUCACAGUCACAUUUAAAAUAGUGACUCUAAACAGAGAAGAAAGCAGCACUGUCAUCAGAUGCAUGAUAAACCAAAAUAUGAAAAUGGGAAAUGUUUAAUUAACCUAGUAAUUGGGUGGGUUAAGUACAUGGGUGAAUUUUAUAUGUGAUUUGUUUUGUUUUGUUUUGUUCUGAUUAACUGCUUAUAGCCUUAGAAAGCCUUUUACAAAAUUAAAAAAAAAAAAUAGAUGUGCAUUCAGUUUUUAAGAAUGGAUUCAUCCAAAGGAAUUCCUUUUUUUUGUGGUUUGGAUGUUGCAGCUAGUAAAGGAUAUUUUUGCUCUGUUCAGCAGUUCUAAAAAUUGCUGAAGUAGGGGCUAGGUCACUGGUAGUUAUAGUAUGGAAUGGGAGAAGUGAAAGUUCGGUUAUAGAACUUUCCAUACUUCCAAGUUUACUGCAAGUUUUUAUGCUUGAGAGAGAUGCUUUCUAAUAUAAGACUGAUGUGUUGAUUUUACUGAUUGUACUGUACAUCUAUUAAAGCCUUAGAUUAUUACAUUACGGGUUGGAACCCAUACCAAUGUAAUUUCAAUCAUGUUAAGAGAGUAAUGGUGACUUCACAUGUUAUUGUAGUUAGUUACAUUAUAGAAUAUUACUUAUUUUUCUUGUUAAAAUGUAGUUUUUCAUUUCCUACAUUUAUUAGAUUUCAUUUUCUAUUAACAAUUGAAUACCAUUUCAGUUUAUAGACUAUUGUUUUAUUAGAUUUUACCGAUGAAUUUUUCAAAAUACAAAAAAAAAUUAGUUUUUCCUUCAUAACAUACUCAGUUUUGAAUUACAUGUAGUGUCAUACGAAUAUUCGUAUUAUUGUUAACUAAAUGAUUUAUAUUUUACUGAUUUAAUAUUAAAGUGUAAGAAUGUCAGUCAUUGUUAGUUCUUGUCUAGUUUUCAUUAAAAGAACAAAGAUCUUUUAUAUGGAUAUCUUAUAAAUAUAUAAUCAUUGCUAAGUAAGAAGUUAAGUUGUUGCUAUCGCAACAAUCCUGGCAGACAAUUGAGUAAUAUUUUGAUGAUUUAUUUUGUUUGUAAUUAGUUAUUAUAAGAAGAUCUAGAUCCUAGAUAUUAGAAUAAAAUUUAUUUUCUACUGUAUCCAUUUCAAAUGUUAAAGUAUUGUUUAAUAUUUUUGAAAUCCCUGAAUAUCAGGCCUUGUUAUAAAUAAGCUGCAUAAUCAAUAAAUAGAACAAGGGACUUUUUGUUGAUAAUCCAAAUACUCAAAGUUUACGUAAUGAGAAUUAUAGCGUGUGUGCAAACUCUUGAGGGUUGAUUAUGCUGCAAUUUAGCAUGUUGGAACGUCUAGAGAGAAGGUUGACUUUUUGCACUUCUGUAUAUAGUCAAAAGAGAGAAACCUGUAUAAUAGUAAGAUCUUAUUUUGAAUAAAAACGUCUAUAAUUACAAGGAGUUUUGUUAAGGCUAAUAAAAUGACAGACUGAGCAAAAUUGCUUGCAAAAGUGGCACAGAGUUAGCACUCCAUAUCCCUUCAAACAUGUUGCUUUGCUUUAUUGUGGACAGCUUGUAGUUUGCCAGGAUUUUUUCAGCUGGAAAGAUAUGCCAUCCUUCCGAGAUCUCAUGACUGACAAAAACUCCAUUGGGCCAAAUCUGCCUGAAGAUCAUUACCAAAAAUAGCAGGUACUUCAACCAUUAAGGUGAAAUCAUGGAUCAGAUAUUCCGUACAUUUUUCAAAACUGCAUGUUUAAAACAUCAACGAAAAAAAAAAAAACAAGAGAGAAAGAACUAUACUAAGGACAUAUAUUAUACAAAUCAGUUUCUGCCAAUUUCAGUGGUUUAUUGUUCACAAAAAAAAAAAAAAAGAAAUCUUUAAAACAAGUAUUGACUUUCACAAAAUUUAAACCAUAAACAGGCAAACCAAACAGCACACCGUAGCUAUAGUUAUGUGAUUGUUUUUUAAUUGCCGUAGGAUCCUGUUCUUUCAGCAGGUGAAAAAUAAAACACAGUUCAAAUUUCACGGUUUUAAUUUUCAACUCAGAAGCACUCAAAAAAGCAAAUGUGAUAAUGGGCACUUGUUUAAUGAAUUUGUGUAUCCAGCCUUCACUCCAGCUGGUUAUCAUGUUGCACUUAUCAGCAACCCACCCGCUUUCAUCUGCUGAAAGGACAGAUGUGCUUGGUUUUACUAUUAUGUAAUCACAACUUACUUUCUGCUUGUAGUUGCUUAAAAUUAUGUAUUUUGUCUUGGGCUGCAAUUUGUUUUAUGCUUAUUUUAUUAUUACUGCAGUAGUUGACUUUGCUGUAUGGAAAAAUAAAGUGAAAUUGCCCUAAUAAAACUUCUCUUUCUUAAGUAUA